RNAcentral lists this long non-coding RNA (1477 nucleotides) under Zonotrichia albicollis (white-throated sparrow). RNAcentral's name for it is "lncRNA (ENSZALG00000000519.1)". The record is from RNAcentral. Lineage: Eukaryota; Metazoa; Chordata; Aves; Passeriformes; Passerellidae.
AUACUGGUUAUACUGGGAGGGCACUGGGGCAUGGAGGGGGCGCGGCUGGGAGUGUGGGUGGCACACGGGGAAGGUAACUGGGAAUACUGGUUAUACUGGGAGCACUGGGAGCAUUGGUUAUACUGGUUAUACUGGGGCAUGGAGGGGGCACGGCUCGGAGUGUGGGUGGCGCACGGGGAAGGUAACUGGGAAUACUGGGGAUACUGGUUAUACUGGGAGCAUUGGGAACCCUGGUUAUACUGGGAGGGCACUGGGAGCAUUGGUUAUACUGGGAGAGCUGAGUUACUGGUUAUACUGGGAGCACUUAUUAUACUGGGUAUACUGGUUAUACUGGGAGGGCAUUGGGAGCAUUGGUUAUACUGGGAGCACUGGUUAUACUGGGAGCAUUGGGAGCAUUGGCUACACUGGAAGAGCUGAGUUACUGGUUAUACUGGGAGCACUGGUUGUACUGGGAGGGCACUGGGAGCAUUGGUUAUACUGGGAGGGCACUGGGGCAUGGAGGGGGCAAGGCUGGGAGUGUGGGUGGCACACGGGGAAGGUAACUGGGAAUACUGGGGAUACUGGGAGGGACUGGGAGGGCAUUGGGAGCAUUGGUUAUAGUGGGAGAGCUGAGUUAUUGCAGUUACUGGUUAUACUGGGAGCACUGGUUAUACUGGGAGAGCUGAGUUACUGGUUAUACUGGUUAUACUGGGAGGGAUUGGGAGCAUUGGUUAUAGUGGGAGAGCUGAGUUACUGGUUAUACUGGGAGCACUGGGAACAUUGGGAGGGACUGGGAGCAAUGGUUAUACUCAUAGAGCUGAGUUACUGGUUAUACUGGUUAUACUGGGAGGGCACUGGGAGCAUUGGUUAUACUGGGAGAGCUGAGUUACUGGUUAUACUGGGGGCACUGGUUAUACUGGGAGCACUGGUUAUACUGGGAGCACUGGUUAUACUGGGAGCACUGGGCUCUCACUGGUGUCACUGGUGUGUUACUGGUUUAACUGGGCUCUAACUGGUUUCUAAUUGGUCUAACUGGUCUCUAACUGGUGUCCAACUUGUCUAACUGGUUUAACUGGCCCCUAACUGGUCUCUAACUGGUUUCCCCAGGCCAUUUCCAGUUCCAGCCACCCUUGGCCCUUGAGUGUCCACUCUCCAUCAGUGACCAUUGAGUGACCACUGACCAUUACCAGUCCCUAACUGGUCUCUAACUGGUCUCUAACUGGUUUCCAGGCCGUUUCCAGUUCCGGCCGCCCUCGGCCCUUGAGUGUCCACUCUCCAUCACUGACCAUUGAGUGACCACUGACCGUUACCAGUCCCUAACUGGUUUAUAACCAAUAUAUAACUGGUUUAACUGGUCUCUAACUGGUCUCUAACUGGUCCAUACUGUUUUCCAGGCCAUUUCCAGUUCCGGCUGCCCUCGGCCCUUGACCGCUGUGUCCGGUCCGGCCUGGCCGCUCUCCAUUAUUGACCAUUGAGUGGCCACUGACCAUUACCAGUC